This 520-nucleotide ribosomal RNA is filed under the name uncultured Acaulospora. RNAcentral describes it as "SSU rRNA". It matches the Rfam family "Eukaryotic small subunit ribosomal RNA", at positions 569 to 1090 of the family's 1831-position model. Lineage: Eukaryota; Fungi; Glomeromycota; Glomeromycetes; Diversisporales; Acaulosporaceae. The record is from RNAcentral.
AGCAGCCGCGGUAAUUCCAGCUCCAAUAGCGUAUAUUAAAGUUGUUGCAGUUAAAAAGCUCGUAGUUGAAUUUCGGGGUCUGUCCGUCGGUCGGGCUUCACGGUCCGUACUGGUGUGAUGGGUUCCUACCUUCUGAAUAACCGGCAUGCCAUUUAGUUGGUGCGCCGGGGAAGCAGAGCUAUUACCUUGAAAAAUUAGAGUGCUUAAAGCAGGCUAGUGCUUGAAUAGAUUAGCAUGGAAUAAUAAAAUAGGACGGCAUGGUUCUAUUUUGUUGGUUUCUAGGAUCACCGUAAUGAUUAAUAGGGAUAGUUGGGGGCAUUAGUAUUCAAUUGUCAGAGGUGAAAUUCUUGGAUUUAUUGAAGACUAACUUCUGCGAAAGCAUUUGCCAAGGAUGUUUUCAUUAAUCAAGAACGAAAGUUAGGGGAUCGAAGACGAUCAGAUACCGUCGUAGUCUUAACCAUAAACUAUGCCGACUAGGGAUCGGACGAUGUUAAUUUUUAAUGACUCGUUCGGCACCUUA